This 34382-nucleotide long non-coding RNA is filed under the name Coffea arabica (coffee). RNAcentral describes it as "long non-coding RNA (CARA_LNC007601)". The record is from RNAcentral. Lineage: Eukaryota; Viridiplantae; Streptophyta; Magnoliopsida; Gentianales; Rubiaceae.
UUUUUUUUUUUUUUUUUUUUUUUGUCGACGGAGUGGGUGUCCGGGUCAAGUCCGUAAAGGCGGCCCGACUAAUCCCACUUCGGCCCGGCCCAGCGCCCCAACCAGACCUAGCACGUUAGAUGCACGGAGAAGCCGAUGUUGCUGCGGAGGUUCGACCCCAGGACCUGACGGUCCCGAGGAAGAGGCGCCAACCACCAGACGGACCUGACGGUCCCAGCUCUAACUUCUAGUUGAAUGUCAAACUUUGUGUUUCCAUUUAGUAUUGGGAUCCCAGAAAGGCUUUGAUUUCAGAGGAGGCCAAACAUGCUGCCGAAAGCCCCACUUUGAAUAUCAUGUGGAAGUUGGAAUUCAACUACUACUACAACUAAAAUGGAUCACCUUUUGGGACAAAUGAGAUUAGUUUAGCUUUCACAUUAGGAUACUUCUGCAGUCGUAGAAAAUUCAUGUUCAAUUAUCUUUGGUCCACCAAACCUGUAGCAAAUCGCUUGCUAAUCUAUUAAUAAAAGAACCAGUCAACUGCUUUGUAUAUGAGUAGGUUUAACCACGACUGCAGGAACCAAUACCUAAAUGACCUACUAUGUUGGUUGAGAUGCAAAUACGAAGUAUAGACUCAUGCAUGCAGGACAUGGAGCUUCUUUUUUCGGAGAACCUACUUUAAUUUGGGUAUUAAUGCAGUAUAUUCGAGUGAAACUGAAUUCAAUUGAUUAGUCAUUGCAUUUACCAUAAUGUUUUGGAAUAUGGGUCGCAAAAUCAUUUGAGAUUUGUGCUAACCAUUUCAGGAAAAAGAAAAACAAAAUGAUACCCUGGUUAACUUGAAGCUGAAAAGUUGAGAUGCCAUCUAAGUUUGGGGAAUUGGGAGUUGAAGUUCAAAAACUCUAUCGACUUUUUUAUGCAAACAAAUUAUUAUUAGUAGUAUAACUUCGUGGUUUCUUAUUUAGUGCAUCCAAAACAGAAGUAAAAAUUUUGCUGGAAAACGAACCUAUAGGCUGUAACUGAAGUCGUUUGGUAAAUUUUUCAUAUUAUGCACAAAAGUAGAGGCAAUUCUUGAGUCCUACGUAAUUUUACGAGGGAACUGCUGAGUGUUGACUACAACAGGUGCUGUCUUAUUUUGUGGGCUUUCGAAUUUCGAUGCGGGUUAUACUCUGUAAUAUUUGGAGUUAAAUGCGGACCAGAGCUGGCGAAAAUUAAAACUCACGCCUACCAAUGCAUUACGAAUUUUGGCCAUGACAAUUUAUGGACGCUCAGCGUUUAAGUCAAACGCGAAUGUGUGUAACUGAUGAAAGAAAUUUGUGUCAAAUUUUUUGAAAAUAUCGAAAAUUAUUUUCAAGAGAAAUUAUAAUAGUAAACAUACAGAAAAUUCACUAAAAUAAAAUGUAAAAAUAAAUAAUUAUUUGGUAGUAAUUCAUAAUCACAAUUGAUAAUUGCUAAUAAAAGUUAAGGUAUAUUAAAUAAGUUGAAAAAUAAAAUAAUAAGAAAUACAUAUUAAUUGGAGGAAAGAUAUAUUGAAACUUGGGAGUGGAUAGUUUUCAAGGGUAAUUUAGAAAGAACAUAAAAUGACACAAAGAAGUUUAUACUAACCCCCUCCUUUCUCUUUGUACAUAAAAUAGAUGAUGGGAAGGUUUGUAAAAGUAAUAUAUAAAAAGAAAGUGAAUAUUGUGCCUCACUCAUCAAAUUGACUGCCUCUUUUCCUCGAAGAACAUAGGGGAAACACAUGGAAUUUACACCUACAAAUAAAGAUAUGAUGAAAUUACCAAAAAAAAAAAAGUGAGUUUGAAGUAAAUAAAGUUGUAAACUACAGGAAGUGACAUGUUAAACUCUUUCGAGUGGUAACACAAUAAUAUGUUGAUAGUAGAAUGGUCCCUCCAAAAAGGGAAAAAGGUCGAAUGGUUGGUUGAUAUAUUUCCCACUAGGUGGGUGCUAAAUAAUUGUUAACAUGUACUAAAGGUAGCUGAUUAGAAGGGGAAGGGCAUCAAAGGGCGUUCCCUAGUUAGACCAUGUAAACUUGGAUUGAGAUUGAGAACCGAAAUGUUUCGUUGUUUCGAGUUACAUGUAAUUGAUAUAGCACUGAGGGAAGUAGCGCAACAGAUCUUCUGUUUCACUCUAUGUUCUCAAGAUUCAAUCACUAUUAAUCGAGUAAAAAAGAAUUAAAAAUAUGAUGUUUAUGAAGGAAAAAUAUCAAUAUAAUAAAAAGUGAGAUAGAAAGUGACAUAAGUGAGACAAAAGAUCUAUUGUAGUUAAAGGGUGUAAGUGAGAAGUAUUGAAUUCGAUCAUUUCUAUUUACGCCUAAAAAUUUUUUAAAAAAUUUAAAAAGUUUAAAAAAUUGACAUAGUAUUAGUUUUAGCUUUCGAAUUGCGACAAGUACAUAACUUCAAUUAACCAUUGUCCAAAACAACUAAGCUGGUGUUGUUCGGUAAAACAAAUCGAAGUGUAACUACUCACGUAGUUGCAUUAUUACACCAUUGCUAGUUACAAAAUAUAAAUAGUGUUUUGAUAAGAAAUUAGUUGAAAUAAUUAUUGUAAUAUUUUUUAUGAUAUGAUGUAUGUGAGAUAAAAAGAUAAUUAAAAAAAUAAAAAAAAAACAUGUUAAAAAUUGUGUUUCUGAUGCAAAUAAACAACUUUUUGCGAGAUCUAAUCUACUUGCAUGGACAAGCAAAUAAAAUGUAAUUGUACAAACAAUUUCUCGUGUUAUGAUAAAAACAUAAUAAUAAUUGAAGACAUUUGUUGGAUUCUCCUAUCUUCACCGGUAUGCAAAUGUGGGCCACAACACUAGAAUCUAGAAUUCCAUCCAAAUCCAACAAAAAUGUUGGCCUAACUCUUUCCACAAGUCUCCACUCUCCAUGUCAAGGACAGUCUACCCUCUCACGAGAAUAUUUAUUCAGAUAAAGGACAUGCCAAUUACAACUUAAAUAGAAGGCCUGUCAAAACUAAAUGAAUGUUAGCCCUCACCAACAAAAUCAAUUUGACUUUUAUCCCCAAAACUGAGAAAACAUAGCCCAACACGAGAAUUUUUUAAGCACAUACAUGUGGGAUUUUUUGAAGCACUUGCUAUUACGCUUAAAUUAUUAUAUGAAUGCUCCUUUUCUCUCAAAUUGCAAAACAACGUUUCUAUAAUUUGUUCAAGUUCAAAAAUCAUAACCUGUGAAAUGGGAUUGCUAUUUUUAGGAGUUUUUUUAAUAAAAAAAUGUAAUGUAAAAAUUUGAUGUAUAUGAGGUAAAAAAAAAUAAUAAAAAAUAUAUUCACAGAAAACAUAAUUUUUUUUUUACUAAAAAUCACAAUCCAAACAAGGCCAACAGAAUGGUUAAAUUCUGUUUAUUUCUACUACAUAGUUGAUCCAUGAUUGUAUUAGUAUCUACCUAUUAUAUAAGAAAAAAGCCAAGUUACUAUAGCACCCCAUCUUUUUGACACAUGUAUUGCAUAUAUUUUUGACAAGUGGAUUCUUGGUCAUUUUAGCUAAACUUUUCCUUCCCCUUUUUGAUUCAAUUGGGCCAAAAUAAUUAAAAUGUUUUUUCUCUGAGCCAAGUUACUAUAGCACCCCAUCUUUUUUACACAUGUAUUGCACAUAUUUUUGACAAGUGGAUUCUUGGUCAUUUUAGCUAAAUUUUUCCUUCCCUUUUUUGAUUCAAUUGGGCCAAAAUAAUUAAAAUAUUUUUUCUCCUUCAGAAAAUCAACUAUGUCGCUUCUUCUUCUUCUUGCGGUAAGUGCUAUUAUUUUUUAUUUUUUAAAACUAAUCUAACUAAAAUUGUUGCCAUGUUCUUUUUUUUUCGUCGAGAUGAUUAGCUACUUAACAAAGAGAAGUUUUUAUUAUUUUUUUAUCCCAUUUUACAUUUUCUUUUCUUCCUUUUUUUUCUUCAUGUCUAAUCUCUCAUAUUUGCUCUAUUCUUCGAUCAUAAUGUUAUAGUCAACUGGCAUUUGUUUGUUAAAUUUAUAGGAUGAUGCUAUUAUUUGGUAAUUUUCAUGGAUAAAAGGUGAAAUAUUAAAAUAUGUAAAAAGAUCUUAAAAUUCAUUUUAUACCAAUGAUCAUUUUCUAUGAAGAAUAGAACAAUAAUUCUUUCUUUUCUUAUCUCCUCCCACGAUUUGAUUUCUUACUUCACAUUUUUUUUUCUUUUUCUUUGUUUUUUGGUUACAUUUUGUAAUUAUCUACAAUUUUGUGUAUUUUUUAAAGAGAAAAGAUAUAUCAUGUGAUGCUUCCACCAAGAUAAAUCUAGUUAGGCAUUCUUCUACUUCUGUAUUCUAUAAGAUUUUGUAUAUAUUUAAACUAACGUUAAUUUUUAUUUUUUUUAAUUAUUCAGGUUAUGUAGUAUCAAUUGGGUUGGCAUAUAAAAAUUGUAGUUGGUGGUAGAAGUCAAAAUUAAAAAUUAUUAGAAAAUUCAAUUUUGAUUAGGAAGAUGUUUUUGCAAUAAAAAAAAUGGUUCAAUUCUAAUUUGUAUAUGUAGAUCUGGAAACGUAGCAAUUCAUAUUUUUUAUCUAACCUUGCUAUUUAUAUUCUGGAGCUGCAGGAUAAUGUUGUCACCUUUAAACGGGAUUUAAAUAAAUAAAGAAAGAAAAAUGUGAAACUUUAAAGUAAGUUAUAUUGAUGUUGAAGAUUGUGACAUGUCUUAGUGGCUUUCUAAACUUUUUCUCAUUAUUAAAAAACUGGAAGCAUUAUGAUUGCUUUUGAUUUAGUUACAACUAAGACUAUGCUGCUAAUUAAUACAGCAAUGCACUUGUAGUGUAUUGAUUUUCUCUUUUUUUUGGGUAUUAUCAUAAUAAUAGUUCAAAAAUCUUUAUUCAAAUCACAAUAAAUAGGGGUAUUAACUUCAUAGAUGGAAUUUCUCUUCACAACAAAUUUUGAGGGAAAUUUUAUUUAUACUCCAUAUUUUAUUAAUUGUAUUCCUACAAUAAAUAAAAACUAUAUGAUAAAAAUAAUAGUGAAAAUAUGAUUAACAAAAAUGAGAGUUCAAAUAACAUUUGUUAAUUUUAAUUGUUUUGAGGUCCAAUUUUCUCCUAUAUUUCUAUUGAUUUAUCAUGUGCCAAAAUAAUUUGAUGUUAUGUGCUUGAUUAUAUUUCUAGGGGCCAAGCUAUGCUUUGCAAGUACCUCUAGUGUACUAACUAAAAAGGUGGCCAAUUACACGACAGCUGCAGUGGGUUUGCUUCUCACAUUAUCACACGACAGCUGCAGGCUGCAGAAUGUGCAUACUCUUGCAUGGAUUAUAUGUGACAGCCCCACCUCACCCUAAGGCGAAACAAAGGGUUCAGCGGACCGCCUGCCCAGCUCUCGCCAGGAUUACGGAGUCGAAUCACACAAAUCCGAUAUUACGCGAGAGGACCCAAAAUAAAUGAGCGAUUGAAGACCGCCAAGCUUAAACAUGGGGAAAACGCUUUCAUAUAUACAUGUCACUAGGUUUACAAUUCAAAUGGAACCAGUGAAACGAAAUACAUUUAGGGUUUGCUCAUUCUCGAGGAGCUAUACAAAAGAACAAAAGAUUUUCUAACUAGCUCAACUCGCUUCUCAAAAUCAUGAUUUCCAAAAGAGGUUCCAGUAAGGAAAACAAAGAUAACGAGGAGGGGGUGAGCUUACGCCCAAUGAGGUACCAAACAUAUAGCAGAAAAAUCAGGUAUUUCACGUUAUACAAACCAGAUACACAUGCUCGCUAUAAAGUAAGACAGGUAAACACAAGAACUCAAAUAGGAAGGAUACAGGUGGCUCUCAGGAGCCAGCUUUCCAGCGUAGUACUUGAUCCAAGCCGGUCGACUCUCCAUCAACGUAUAUAGAACCAACACGUCCGUAGACCCCACUUUACACCAAAUUCCGUCCACCAAACACCCCUUUACCGGGCCCGCUCACCUCAACAGAAACAGAAAGGGUAAUACUCGAGUAUACCGGAAUCAAGAGUCUCAAUACCCAAAGAUCCCAAAACAGACUACCGUGGUUCGUUAUCUAAUCGUCCAGGCCCUUGCCGGCCCGACUCGAAUAACUUAGCCACAGGAUUUGAGCUCAUAAGUCACAGAAAGGUCGUUGGUUACAAGUUUCCAAACGACGUCCGAACAGAUACAGAUACAGAUACAGAUACAGAUAUCAGAUACACAGAUUCAGAUUGACACCAAAAUUGGCAUAUGAACAGACAAGAGAACGAGUGUGAUAAAGUACACCCUCGUCUCAAACAAAUUAAACAGAUUGCAGAGCAGAAAUCAAGUUAAACAGCAAUGGAGGGGAGUGGUACACUCACCGGUUCAAGUACAAAUACCUCAAAAGUUUUCACUUCGGAUUGGCUUUAAUCGCCAAGAAACCCUAAAAUAAUCAAAAUAAACCAAUUGAAGGUUUCACAUCCAGAAUCGAGUAAACAAAAUACACAUGUGAGGCUCGACUACUAGUCGUAUGCCUCGCCAAAUAAUUACUAAUGCAAGGGUACAAAACAUGAUUUUUGGGAAUAAAAAGGUAACAUGAAGACCUAGGUUCAACAACCCAAAAGUCCUUCAUUUCUAUCACAAGCCAAUUCAAACUUAAAGGAACCAAUUGGCCUAGAAAAAAUUGGACAGCACUUCCCCUAAAUUUCUUACUUUUCCAGCCAUCACGGCUUCAUUAUUUUCCUCAAUCAACUCCCAAAGUCAUACUCAAUAUACACUCAUCACCACAGCCGUUCAAUAGGCUCAAGGUUAUCCAAGUACAAAAGUUAGUUAGGAAAAUGACCGGAAAUAAAAGUCAAGCCCUAGAAUAUUCCACUAAGCACAAGAAGACUCGAUUACAAGUCAUAAACCGAUGCCAACACGAUCACAAUAGGGUUCCAUAAGCAUAUAUAAGCAUUAGAGGAAACCAGAAAUUUCGGAAAUGUAACUAGCUUUGGCCCUGAAAAAUAGUUUUUGUCCUCAUUUUGCGGUAAUGGCACAAAUUUCACUACGCUUAUCGGAUGAGGGUGCAAGACCCACCAUCUCGAAGCUAAAAGACAGGGCUACAACAUCACAGAAGGUCACUCAACCCAGUUUUGAGUGCAAACAGGUCAAAAAUGCAAGAUACUACAUCAACAACGUAAAACAGAUUCACCAAAACGCAUUCUAGUGGAAACAUCAUAACUCAGGCUCUACAAGUCCAAAUCCAGAAAUUCCAAAACCAUCUGAAAGCUAAGCAACAGGGAUAAAUUUCAUCAGAAGGUCUCAACAACCAAUUCGGAAGCAAUUCCAGGAAAAACAACCAAUUACAGGCGCAGUUCUCAAUUUCGGGUAAAACCAGAACAGCAAUAGUAAUUUCGACUUAUCUCAUUCUACUCUACUCCGAUUGACCUGAAAUUUUGUAGGAACCUCUAAAAUGUCAUUCCCUACAACUUUCAUGUUUUGAGCUAAGGCCAAUUCGGCCUCUAUCUAGGACCUAAAAAUUCGGACAGAAUGCUCCCACAAGAACCCUAAUUUUCUGAAAUUUCUUCCAAAACAGAAAUUGAUUGCAAUUGUCCACUUUUUUCACCUUCUAGAAUCAUUAUAUACCAUUUCCAAUCAUCAUAGAUAGCCACACAAUCAUGCUUAUAUUAAAACAGAAAAAUCCCCAAAAAUAAUAAAACUUCAUCAUUUCAACCACAAAUCAAAAAUUAAUCCAUAAACUUGCAUCUUAUACUACCACUAAGCAUGAUUUAAGCAUCAAUUAAAGGAGGAGGGUGGUUCUUCACAACUUACCUUAGAAACAAGAGAGAGAGAGCUAUUGGUCACCUUAACUUUCCAAAAAACUUCACACAACAACUCACCAACACUUCCUUAAGUGGUUUUAUGGAGCAAAAUCAAGGUUGGAUGGUUGGUUUUGGUGAUUUGGAACAAGAUUGAAGUGUUUUCUUCCUUGUGCUUGGAGUAAGAGAGAGAGAGAAAGAGAGCAAGAGAGGGCCGACUUCAAGGAGGAUUUUUUUGAGGAUUUUUGGGUCAAUUUUGGUUAUUUAAGUCAAUGGUAAGAAAGGUUUUAAGGUAAGCCCAAUCAAAUGGUGACACUUGUCACCUUUUAUUAACUCUCUACCUAACUUGUCUCUCUCAUAUCAAUCCAAAUUGCACCCUCCACUUAUCUCUUAACACCCGGUAAAUUCAUUCAAGUAUUCAAAACUUAAUCUAGUUGGCCGAAUUUUUCCGAACUUUUCGCACUAGUGGGUCCCACGUCCGAUAUACGCUUUUAAUUCCUCAAAAGCUAACCGAUACUAGAAAAAUCAUUUAAAAGCUAUAUUUACUCAUAAAAUUUAUUUGCACAAUGUUUCGAAUAAAGAAAAGGUGGAAAAACGUAUAAUUAAAAGAAAUUAAAACCUAGAAAUUAAGAAAAUUACGGGUCCUUACACUAUAUGCUUUGCAUGGACGGAAUAUAUAUAUAGUCUUAUUCUAUGACGGAAAAUCUAUGAAUUUCUGACCUGUACGAUAAGCAAAUGUGCGACACAGCACUAGAAUUUCAGCCAACAAAUGUCAUUCAGAUGAAGGACAUUCCACCAUACGAGUUUCAACCGCAUGUUUAUACCAUCAAAAUUCGAUCCACAACUUUACUGAUGCAGUGCAUGAUCGAGUGUACGAGUAUCCUUAUCUUAUGUAGCUGUAUGGCCUGCUUCACCAUGGUUUCAAUACAAAUUUCUAGUAAAUUACACGCCAAUACGAUCAUAAUUGGAUGGUAGUGUAAUAUCUACUAUAUGGUUAUCAUUUGAUGAUAGUCGGUUCAGAUUUCUAUCAUAUUCUUUUGGACUAUUAAUCUAUGAUUAAAUUUUAUAUACAUUAAACUGACAAUAUUUACACUAUCAUAAUUAGAUGUAUGAUACAUAUAUGCAAAAUUUGAAUUAUAUGUCAUGCAUCAUGUGGUGAAAUUGUAUACACUGUCAGUCUAUAGAAGAUUAAUCCUUAAUUUAUUACGAACAUUUUUCUUAAAAUUUUUGGUUGGUAAAAGUCAUUACUUACACAAAAUUUGACCAAGGGAUCUCGAGACUUCUUAGUUGCAGUUACAACCACAAAGUACAAGAGCUUGUUUAAAUUGUUAUUUUUUGAAAUUUUUAUAGAAAAAUAUAAUAUUAUAACAAUUUGAUGUAUGUAAAGUAAAAUGACAAGUAUUUAAAAAAUAUGUUUAUGAAAAGUGUAAAACUGAAAAAUGCUAAUUCAAACGAGGCUAUUGAGCUAAAAUGAUGAUAAAGACGGUAAGCUUGUCUACCAUCACAAUUUUAGCACAUAGAGGUUAGAAGAGUUGGUGCAUAUAGUCCUUGCAACCCUAAUUAGGUGGGUAAAUCAAGACCUAGGCUGCGGUUUUGGUUAGGUCAAAAUUAACACAACCAUUGACCUCCUGAAAUUAAUUGCUUUUUGAGGAUUUGAUGAACUAAUAUUAAGUUUGCAACGAAACCUGUUUCAGUCAUUCGUUGAUCCCAGCUGCCCCCACCAGACCUCCACUUUCCCAUCCACACUUCCCCUACCAAUAGGAUUACACCUUUCCUUUCACGAGCUCAUUCUGCUGCUCUCAGCAUUCAUUCUUUCAUCCCGUGAAUCGCGACGCAUAAAGAAAUAUCAUGACCGUCAGUUUCGGUGACUGAAGAAAGGAAAGGAAAGAGAAGUUUAAUCCGAACGGUGGAUGGGCGGCGGCUACAAAGUUUUACCCGUGAAACCACCACCACGAGAUCUCCGCCCCCUCUCAUAAAGAAUCACAGGAGCAGAGACGCGGCUUUCCAGCCUGGACUCCUUUCAAUUUAUUCCAUCGCUGUCACCUAUCUCGAUCAAUCCAUGGUCCCACCUUGGCUUUCAAAAUUGCAUACAACCCGGUAUACGUCUAGGCCCUGUAAAUACCUAAGCUACCCUUUCACGAAUUUUUAAAAUUUUUUUCUUUUCUUUUAAUUAUUUAAACUUUUUUUUUUUAUGCUUCAAAAGGAUUGUGGGUUAGUAGGAAGUAAAUCAUCCAAAAACUCUCACCGUACUAAGAAAGCAAAAUAUUAUCCGAAAAUGUUCAAAAUUUAGGUGUUGUUUAAAGAUUGGUUCUUGAUAAUUGCAAUUAUCUUCCAUUCUUAUCCAUUAACCAAAAUGUUAAUGGAACUUUCGUACUACAAUGUCUUAACAAAAAUAUUUCUUAUCUAAAUUUGUAACUGACUACUUGGUCACGCUAGCUACAUCAAUAAAGAUUUUCACCAAAUUCUCACAAUCAAAUGCUCGUAUGAAUGCCAAAGGUCUUUAUUAUUUUGUUAGAUAGGACGAGCUACUCAUAUAUUGACCAUGUAAAUGUAUUGAUCAUGUAACUGAAUGUUAUUCCUUAUAUAACAUUUGUUAUGAGGCAAGGUUUUAGGCCCCUCUUCUAUUUAAUAAAUUAAUUAAUGGUUACCAUCCUUAUUUCAUGUAUGACAUUUUAUCAAAUAAAAAAAAACUUAUAUUUUAUUUCUCAACUUUUGUUCCUUUGGCUUCUAUAUCAGAUUAAAUAUUGGAUGUAACGCAAUUCUCUUGGAUACUUUUCGCCUAUUACUACUUCGGCUUCUACCUUUUGUUGAGCUUUUCACUAUUGGUUUCUAAUUAUCUUGUAUAAUACUUGUUCCACUUCUGCCAACAAAACUAAAAAAAGAAUGUCAACUAUUUGCAUAAAAAAUCAUAUCAAGUUUGUUUACUCUAUCCGCACUUUGUUUUGUACCGUAUUUGAAGCCAAAUGUGAUUGAAUUUUUAUUUUACUCCUGAUUUUUCUAUCAAAGAUAUGUUUAUAAUUCAUUUAACAAGCUCACAUGAGGUGGCAAAAUGACUUAAAAUGUUUAUUAAAUAAAUACAUAUACUAGCAUAAGAUUGAGGCAAAUGAUUUAUUCGAGAACCCUUUUAAAAAAAAAAAAAUUUUUUUUUCACAGCAAAUCUCUAGCAAAAUAACAAUUGUAUCCUUCAAUAUUCAAAAGUUGAAUGCACUUUGAAAAGAGUAAAAUUGUCAUUUCAAAGAAAUUAGCAAUGGCAUUAAAAACAUGGACUACGAUAUUAAAGCUAUCCUAAUUGACUGUCAUUAUAUGCUACAAUCAUUUUGUUGAUUGAUCUGCUAGUACAAGUAUUAGAGUAUCUAUAGUAGGAGAAUAAAUUCAUUCUCCACCUCAUUUACAAAUUCAAAAAAAAAAAAAAUCUAACCCGGGCUAAGAAGGUCAUUUCAUAUUGAUAUGUUUACUUUUCCAUUUAUUUUUUAUCCCCACACUUUCGUACUCGGACAGUUGGACUUCCAUACUCAUCCUCUUAUGACUUUAAUCUCUGAUCUCCCAUGACCACUCUCCCAAAACAGCCAAACUCCUCCAAUACCUCCUCUUCCCACCACCGCCAUCGCUCCCACAAUGCCACCUGACACCAGAACCACCGCACUCCUCCUCCUCACCAUCCUCCUCCUCCUCCUCAGCUCCCACACUCCCUCCACCGCAGACCUCCCGCAAUUUCGGGAAGCCCCAGCAUUCCGCAACGGCCAGCACUGCCCAAUCUCCACAUGGCCCUCCAACCCACACGACCCUUCCACCAUCCACGUCGCCAUGACACUUGACUACUCCACGCCAUACCUCCGUGGCUCCAUCGCCGCGGUCUUCUCAGUCCUCCAGCACUCCACCUGCCCAGAAAACACCUUCUUCCACUUCCUCACCACCACCCGCCACCGCCAUUUCCAAGGCCUCAACUCCACCAUCACCUCCACUUUCCCCUACCUCCGUUACCAUCUCUACCACUUCUCCCCCGCCUUAGUCAACCACCUCAUCUCCUCCUCCAUCCGCACCGCCCUCGACCAACCCUUGAAUUACGCCCGCAUUUACCUCGCCGACCUCCUUCCCUCCACCGUCAACCGCAUUAUAUACCUCGACUCUGACCUCAUCAUCAUCGAUGACAUCUCCAAGCUCUGGAAAAUCAAUCUCUCCGCGCAUAUUCUCGGCGCCCCCGAAUAUUGCCACGCAAAUUUCACCAACUAUUUCACUCCCAAAUUUUGGUCCAACAGAUAUGUCUCCAGCACUUUUAAUAACCGUGCCACAUGUUAUUUCAACACAGGGGUUAUGGUGAUGGAUUUAACGAAAUGGAGAACAAAUGGGUGCACGAGAAAACUGGAGCAUUGGAUGAGGAUUCAAAAGAAGUAUAGAAUUUAUGAGCUGGGCUCAUUGCCGCCGUUUUUGUUGGUUUUCGCCGGGAAUGUCGAGGGGGUUGAGCACAGAUGGAAUCAACAUGGACUCGGGGGGGAUAAUCUCGAAGGUUUGUGUAGAGAUUUGCAUCCGGGUCCCGUUAGUUUGCUGCAUUGGAGCGGAAAAGGGAAGCCGUGGUUGAGAUUGGACUCGAAGAAACCUUGUCCGUUGGAUAGCCUUUGGGCUCCGUACGAUUUGUUUAAACAUCGGCCAUUGAUCUCCGAUAGUUGAUGAUGCUGGUCGUAGGAGAUUGUUGCCCCGUGACCGUGAGUGAGUAAUUGGGAUGGAAACAGGUGAGGAGAGAAUGAAAAAGGAGAAAUGAGGACAGAACAGAUAGAUUUAUGGUGACGUGAGAGGAAGAAUACUUUUGGGGUUUUGGUGGAAUGUUGUGGCGGAGCUCUGGUGUGGUACUGUCGGUGGGUUUUUCUUGGCCGUCCGAUGUGAGAGAUCAGGACGGUAAGAUUUGGUGGUGGUGGUUUGGGAAUGAGGAUAUGAUGGGUGCAUUGUGAUGCUGGGUCCUAUUUUUUGGGAGUGGUUGGAUUCCAUGUUGCUAUCAGAGUUUGUUUUGUUUUCUUGGUGGCAGUGGAGGUGGAGGUGCUAAUUGAGUUUUUUUUUUUGUUUUUUUUUUUGUGUGUGUACAUGUUGUGCUACUUUUUAACCUACUACUACAACUACUACUUGUGGUUGGUUCUUUGAUUGUUUCUGAUGAUCAUAAUCAGAAUUGAGAGAAUUAUUCAUUAUUGAUUGAUGUUUGUGAUGGCGCAUUUCCCCUUUGCUUUCAUCCACUAGAGUGUCUGUUUGAUCUUAUCCUAGCAAGUAAAUAUGAUGAAAUUUGUUUUCUUGUGAAAGCAAUCAACGGAUAUGGGAAGGGACUACUGAUCAAUUGGCCAUUGGAUACCCCUUUGAAUAGCCUAAAAAUGAGCAAAUUCUAGUGGAGUUCAAUAGCAUCAGAAGACAUGUUAAAGGGACUGAAUCGAAACUCGAUAAAGCACUUAAUAAUGCUAUUGAUGAUCAUGAAAGUCUGGCAGCGCUCAGGUCAGGCAAGCUUUUAAUACGAUAUAUAUUUGUCGGCUACUGGCCGUGCAUAUUUCCAUGGUUUAUGAAGACCCAUCCAUUUUCGUGCCUGAUGCCUGCUGACUAGCAUCCGGAUUCCAGGGAAAAGGUGGAUUAACGAUUAAGAAGAGCUCGUCCGGAGUCAUGUUGAGUAACUUUCAACUUCAACUUUUUGAUUUUUUUUUUUAAAAAAAAAAAAAACUCACAGGUUACAAUAGAGGAGGGGAAUCCCAUUUUACUCUUAUAAUGCGGACUAGAGCGAAAAAACUUCCAUCACAUAGUGGAAAAAAUUUCACUAUUGUAACGGAAGUAUUGGGCUCGCUCAAAGCAGCUUUUAUUGGGUCAUUCACCCCGAUCUUGAAAUAAUAGUUGUGCAAUUAGGUCCCCUUGCCCAACAUAAAACGCUGUUCAAGUUUGAUUUGAAUAGUUGGCAAAUCAAGUUCAAAUCAGUUGUUACCAAAUCGAGCUCGAUUCGAACGUCGAAUAGCUUAGUUCAUCUUUCGAUCCUAAUCAUGAAUAUCUUUUAUUAGUUUAAGAGCUCCGGAAAAAGGAAUAGGGGAGGACUUGAGAGUCAAAUUAGGCUUCUUUUUAUGUUGCUGGACCUUGGAACAUUUAAUCAUAGAUAUCAUUGAGUGUGAGUAUGUGAUGGACGCGGGAAAGAGAAGCAAUAGACAUAAAAUUAGGCAAAGCCUUGUGAUGUUCCUCGGUCACAACUUUGGAUAUGGACUGGACUUCAUGAGAAAAUGUGUCGGGAUAAAAAAAUAACAUUCUUUUUUUUUUUUUUUUUUGGUCAAAAAGGCAACCUAACAUUAUUCCCCAUUCUCCUAUGCUUCCUUUUGCAUUGUGUGGACUCUUGGGCCAAAAACUUAUCAAGCCAUUCUGGUUUUCAGAUUGUUUCAGAGUCCAGGAGUGGAGCAGAAACCCAUACUGGGGAUAUUAACUGCGGCCAUCUGGCCCACUGAAUUGACCUACGUAUCAAUUGUGGCCUGUAUUGUUCACCUAUCCAUUGAUUCGACCUACGUGUCAAUUGUGGCCUGUAUUUUUUGUAUUUCCCUCCACAAAAAAUACCUGAAAUAACUGUCCCUUUUGAGAAAAUAAAUACAAAAAACAAAAUAAAAAAAAAAAAUCUAAGAAACGGACGACGCCAUGAAAGAAAGCAACAGAGCGCAGUCCUAGGCUAGCCUAAAAUUGCUGAAACAAAAUCUUCAAAACAUAACUCUGAUGAUUUCUUUUGUUUCCCAAGCAUAAUUUUAGGUACUAAAAUUCCUCAUAGAUCCUCGAAACAAUCAUGGCUACGGUUGCCACCAGUGGGGUUGGAUUAAGUGGAGCAAGACUCCAUGCUUUCAACUCCAGCAAACCAUUUUCUCCAUUUCUUGGGAAGAAGCUCAAGAUUAAACCAAUUUCUGAGUCAAUUCAUCCAACAAAGUUUAACCAUGCAAAAUCCAGGAAUCUUCUUGUUUUAGCAUCUGGGGUGGAUUUAAUGAGCUUUGUCAACGAUCUUUUUGUUGGGGUUGGAGUUGGACUUCCAUGUACGGUCAUGGCGUGUGGUGAUAUAAUUUAUAGAAGUACACUUCCAAGCUCAAAUGGUCUCACAGUUACAGUUCCUGGGACGAUUUUAGCACUGGGUGCUUUGUCUUAUUUGUGGGCUACUCCUGGUGUUGCCCCUGGUUUUUUUGAUAUGUUUGUGCUUGCAUUUGUUGAAAGACUGAUUAGACCUACCUAUCGGAAGGUUAGUUGAUUGUCUGGUGAAUUUUUGAUUUUGUAAAGUUUUGAGGAUAAAAUCUUGGAAUUUGGAUAAUUUGAUUUUGUUUUGUGGUGGCAGGAAGAUUUUGUGCUUGGGAAGAAAUUAGGUGAAGGGUCUUUUGGUGUGGUUUAUAGAGCUUCAUGGGCUAAAAAGCCCUCCCCAAAGGUAAAUAUUUGACAGGAACUUGCUAGUAUCAAAGUUUUGUUUAUUGUUUAUGUUAUUUCAGCCCUUUCGGAUUUUUUCCCCUUUAUGUGCUUUGCAUGUAUUAUAGGGAAUAUUGUUGAGGUUAUGCUGGUCCCUACUUGAACUUUGAUGGAAUAUUUUCUUCCAUUCUUUUGCUCAAAUGCUCAGACUUUAUAUAGAACCUAAUCACAUGUACAUGUAUCAAGUUUUUUCCAAACUUUCUUGUCAAUCUGGAAUGAAUGUGUUAUUAGGCCACAGUUUGCAUUAAUAUUAGCUGAUAAAGAUAUCUAGAAGGCAUGUUUGCUAAUUGUUAUUGGUAGCGAUCCUAAAAUAACAAUAGUUGCUAUUGGUUGUCACUCAAAGGGUGGAGAGUUAGUCUUGAAAAAGGCUACUGAAUAUGGAGCAGUGGAGAUAUGGAUGAAUGAACGUUUGCGAAGGGCUUGUGCUAGUAGCUGUGCUGAUUUUGUGUAUGGCUUUCUCGAGGUGCUGCUCUCUUUGCCUAAUGUUGCUAAGUAUGAUUAUAGCAGAGAUAAUAAGACAGCUUCAAGCACAUAUCUAUAACUUUUGCAAAUUGGAUUCAGAGUUCUUCAAAGAAACAAGCUGAAUAUUGGCUUAUAUGGCGUUUUGAAGGGGAAGCCACACUUGCUGAUUUAAUGCAAAGUAGGGAGUUUCCUUACAAUGUUGGUACCACUUCUGUCUCACCUUAAUUCUAAAUCUGUGAUGCAGAACAAAUCUCCUUGAUGGAAUUUUCAAGUAGAUAUAUUAUGAUGUGGAAAUCAUCUGUUCCAUAUGUUAUCCAUUUUGAACAUCACUAUGACUUAUUAUGUGUAUUUGCUUAGGUGCAUAUUAGACGUGCACAAUUCCAUGAAGGCUCACGGUAGCAUAUUUAAGGACAUAGCUGCUGGCCUAAAAAAGUGCCAACUCUUUCGUUUUGUAACUUAUAUAUUCAAUUCAUGACAUGAAUUAUAUGUAUUGUUACAUAAUGACGUAGGCCAACCAUUAGACCAUAGCUGUGCUUAUUGUUCCAUAGUGUAAAGCCCUAAGAUAAUAGGAUUUCCCUCCAAACAUAGCUGUGCUUAUUGUUCCAAAGUGGUAGAGUAACUGAUUCUUAAUAGAAACAAUAAUGUUGUAUUGUGAGGACAGAAGAGAAUAAAACUGUACUCUCUUCAGGAAAAAUUUCAUAGAGCUUGCCUGCCAAAAGGAAAAAGAUUAUAGUUGUCCAUAUUAUGAUGAACUGGUAGGCAAACAAAGAUAUCAUUGGUACCUCUCCAGGUACAGAGUAACAACGGUGGCCACAAGAACUUCUCAAAGUGACAAUUGUGUUGUCAGGACCAGAAGGGUGUCAAAAUACUAGCUGAGAUUGGUUUCUAUUAAUGGUCUUUAGCCUCUAUCCCAAGCUUUCAGUGAAUUGAAGGUGAAUUUGGCUACCUUUAUGAGUGAAACAGUAGAAAUAGAUUUCUAGAACUGCAAGAAAGAAGAAGAUUUACAAAGAAAAUCAGGAAUUACUGAAACAAGGAGCACAGAAAAGAAAACUUGGAAAUUGAAUGAGAAGUCAAAUAUUUGAUCAACUGAAAAGAAAUGUUUGCAAGUAGGAAAAUUCUUGUCCAAGAAUUAGGAAUCCGUUGUCCAGAUUUCCCCUUCUGGCACUCAAAGGGUAGAGCCUGUAGAUUGACUGCUGAAACUAUGAAUCCUGACUAGACACACAAGAUUAAGAUGGUGACCUCUCCAGCUUUGCUUCAGUUAGAUGCUCUAGAUUAGAAACUGAUUCCUUUUUCACAUGGCAAAGUGCUUCAUGGGUGGAUUUCUGAGGUUGAAAACUUUUCCAGUAUAUCCAGGUCUUUGAGUCACUUUUGUUGUAAAAUAUGCCAAAUGAGUCCCCCCCUCCCCCUCUCCUUGAAAAGAAGUCCUAGUUGUUUAUCUCCCUUUAACCUAUAUUAGCAAUAGGUUGAUCUAACUAUGGUUUUGUGUUCAUUAUCUUGUCUAAAGAAAAGGUCAAUGCUUUUGUACACUUUUUGCAAUGAGUUGCUGAGACGGUCUCUAUUUGACAUAUAAGAUCAAAUUUACAUUUCUAGCCUCUUCUGCUAACCUUAAUGAAGUUUUCGCAAACUUAAAGGUGGAAGCACUGCUUCUGGGGGAGGUUAACAACUUGCCUAAGGGUCUAGAAAGGGAAAAUCAAAUUAUCCAGACUAUUUUGGGACGGAUCUUGUUUGCAUUAGAUGGCCUUCACUCAACCGGAAUUGUCCACAGAGAUAUUAAGCCACAGAACAUAAUUUUCUCCGAAGGUGACUGUUUUGUGCCAACCUUAUUAGCAGCUCGCUUAAACUCUCUCUCUAUUGUUUCUUUCAGUUUUUUUUUCUUUUUCUUUUCAUUUUUCUUCAUUAAAUGUGAUGCAGGUUCUCGCACAUUCAAAAUCAUUGAUCAUGGAGCUGCUGCAGAUUUAAGGGUGGGCAUCAAUUAUAUUCCUAAGGAGUUUCUGUUAGAUCCAAGGUAGCUUUUCAGCUCAACAAAAAUUAAUCACUGCCAGGAGCAUGUUGGUUUCUUCUCUAUACACUAAAGUACUCAAACUUGCAAAUAGCUGCUGAUGAAGUACUAAAGUUUCUAGGGCAGCCUAAUCAAAUGUCAUUAUCAAACCAAUAAGAAAGUAUCAGUUAGUUACUCAUGAGAAAUCCUGUAAAAUCCUGGAUAUUGACCCAAAUCCUUACCUGGGGUCUUCUACUCAAAUGUUACCUUUUUCAUUAGGAAAAGAAAAUUAUGUUGAGCAAAGUAUCAAUCAACUUCAGUUAUCUCAGAUCAAAAUGUGUAAUAGUCCUCCCCUACACCAAAAUUCAUCCCAGAAUUAGUGGCCAUCUUGGUUCUCUUAGUCAUGUCAAAAAGCUAGGAAAAAUUCACGCAGGGAUGAGAGGGUUAGAAAAUGGAGCGCUACAAACCUCCACCCCUCCUUCCCCCAAAAACGACCUUUUUAGUCAUAGAGGAAAUGUUCUUCGUAGAAAAAGCCAACCAACCAUCAAGUAUACUUUGUUUUUGGGAAGGGAAGAAGAAGAGGGAAGGAGCGAAUUUUUGGGCAAUGGAACAACUUUAAAGUUGACUUCUUUUGUACUUUUGGAAGUCCAUCACAAUUAAGAAUAUUUUUGUUUUCGAUUUCCCAUAAAUUGCAAUAUUAAAUAACCGUUCUUACGUGACUUUCAUAACCAUUUGGUAUCAGGCAGUAGAAGAGUGUAUUUCAUACUAUGAACUGAUUUAGUUUGACAACACCAUCGAGUUGAUUUUGUUCAAUACGAUCCACAAAUUUAAAUUAUCACCUCAAGAAGUCAAAUACAUAAUAUCUGAGUUGAAGUUGUAAUAAGUUAUUAUCCCAGUAACAGUUUCAUAUUUGGAAUAUACAUUGGGACUGAAAUCAUUAGGAUUUAUUUGAUCUCUUUACGGAUAUUCAUUGAGCAUUAUCCAAGCUAACAGGAGCUACUUUCUUGAUAGGCUCCAAGCAUCAAUCUAAUUCCAUCAAUUAGAUUCACAUGAUUCCAGACUUUGGUUUAUUUGCACAACAUUAUUAUUUCUCAUUUUCUCCAGGUAUGCUGCACCUGAGCAGUAUAUUAUGAGCACUCAAACACCCUCUGCACCUUCAGUUCCAGUUGCAACGGCACUAUCUCCUGUUUUAUGGCAGGUAUUGUGUCUUCUAUGAAUACUUUCAUCUUCACGCCACUUGAGGUUGAGCGAUACAUUUGACUUACCCCUAAACAACAAUGUCUGAGCAGCUAAAUUUGCCAGAUCGCUUUGACAUCUACAGCGCCGGGCUCGUAUUUUUACAAAUGGUAAGUUAGCGAUACUAGUUAAUUAUGACUGUUUCUCCUGGAUGAUGUCCUAGGAAUGAAAGCAGUUACGUAUAGGAGAACAAUAUACUCUUUUCACGAGUAUAAAAAAUGGUCAAUAAGUAGUUGGAAUAUCCUUUGCUGAGAUUGUCAUUCUGUACUUAUUUUCACAUUGUCAUUGACUAACAAACUUCACCAUGUUUAAAAUUCAAACGGAAAAAAGAAAAAUCUUGGAAAGAAUUUUCUGUCUCUGUCUGCAUAUAACAAUGGCACAAAUAUAUGUAAAUCAUGUUUGAUAUUCCUUUUGAGGUUCUGCAUUUCAAAAUUUCCCUACAGAGAAGCUAACUCGAUCCCCAAGUGCGGCAUUGAAGUCUGAAACUAAUCAAGUAACACUAUGAUUGUGGUGAUUGAUAAUUACUGUUUUAUUGCAUUGGGUGUAGUGUUUGAUUGGCACUGCCUUAGUGACUUCCCCCUUAUUGAUGAUGAGCUCAUUGCCUGCAGGCAUUCCCUGGACUACGAAACGACAAUAGUCUCAUACAAUUUAACCGUCAGCUAAAGCGAUGUGACUACGAUCUGGUUGCAUGGAGGAAUACAGUAGAACCACGUGCAAGCAAUGAGCUUAGAAGGGGCUUUGAGUUGUUAGAUCUGGAUGGUGGCAUUGGAUGGGAACUUUUAACAUCAAUGGUUCGGUAUAAGGCACGCCAAAGAGUCAGCGCAAAAGAAGCUUUAGCUCAUCCUUAUUUUGAUAGAGAAGGCCUAUUGGCCAUGUCCUUUAUGCAGAACCUAAGGAUGCAAUAUUAUCGAGCGACACAAAAAGACUAUAGUGAAGCUCUCAAGUGGGUUGUUCGGCUGAUGGCAAAGUCAGGAACAGAGCAGGACGGUGGCUUCACUGAAGCACAGCUUCAGGAGCUCAGGGUUUGUAUAUGCUAAACUGCAUAUUAUGGAUUUUAGAAAUAGUUACACUAUGAGUUACAACUCUCUAUCUGCUUUAUGCAGGAUAUACAACCUAAAAAGAAGUCGAGUGCGCAAAGGAAUGCUCUUGCAUCAGCUCUCAAGCUGCAGAGAAAAAUCACAAGGACAUUAAAGGAGAGUGUUGAUGAACUUAAUCAAAGGCGAAAGAGCGUAUGGUGGAAUCGGUGGAUCCCAAGAGAGGAAUGAAAUUUGUAAAAAUAGUAAUUUGCUUAUGCAUGUAAAUUAUUUUGCAGUCCUCAACCUUAACUUCUCUAGCGGAGUAAAUGAUGUUUAAUAGAGAGUACAAAAGCAGAUUUUAUAUAAAAAGUAAUAAAUGAUGUUUAAUAGAGAGUACAAAAGCAGAUUUUAUACUGUAUAAAAAGUAAUGUACAUCAUUCCACUCACACUCGGAUUAAUCCUCUUGUAUGGUAGGAGACGUAUAAAAGAAAAUUUACAGAUAAUCGAUUGUCCCUUCAGUUUUCUGAUUCUGAAUUUCAUACCAUUAUCCUAAGGCAUGCAGAAACACACAUUAACCAAGGCCAAAGAUCAUUCCUGUUGCAUAAUUCAGCCCUUCAUUUCACUUUCUCAAUUUAUUCCUUUUGUAGUAACAUGGAUACGUAGUUCGUUGGAGCUACAAAAAUAGGCAUAUAGAUAGCAUGAUAAUUGACUAAUUAUUUCUGUCUUCCUCACUGGAAUGAAGAUUGUAAGUAGCUAUAAUACGUGUGCAUUCAUCAUUUCCAUAUCCAUUGAAUGGAGUUAGUAGGAAAUGGAACAUCAUAUACACAGUUUUUUCUUCUUUAAUUUCCUUAGCAUUUCUCUUAUUUGCCUCCUUAUCCUAAUCUUGCUUUUCUAUUAGUACUAGUAAUUUCAUCUUGCUUAAUUUGGUGUGUUCGGAAACAAAAAUUUUUCAAAUAUUAUUUUAUUUGUGUCAUAAAAAUAUUUUUCAACCACGUUUUUAUAUUUUUAAUUAUUUUUUUAUUUCACGUACAUCAUAUCAAAAAAAAGUGCUAUAGUGACCUUUCUAAAUAAUAUUUCAAGCAAUCUGCCAUCCAAACACACUACGGUAAUUUCAGUUCUGCCACGCUCCAUAAUGCUCAAUUAAAAAUCCUUUCCGGAUCUCAAGGUUUUCACAGCAUACCUGGGAUAUUUCCAGGCAAAAACUGUUAAGGAUGACGAUGAGCCAUGUUAUGGCAUGAGACCUAUCAUUGUGCCAACAAUGUAUUGACCCAUUGUGCUGGAUACGUAUGAGAGUUUCAGAGUUGUGAUAUACAAGUCGGAAUAAUUACAUAUCUAAGCUAAAACUUUAAGAUGAUAAAUGCGUAAAAAAAUAAAAAGGAUAAUGAAUAAGUCAAGCUAAUUCUCUGUUCAUGUUGUGUUCCCUACCAAUAGAGGAUAUAGGGCUUGUUUUCAAAUGAUUCUAAGUAAAUUAAAACAAGAAGAUAAAUGUUUUUAGCUUCUGAUUCGAAUUAUGAAAAUCAGAAGCAUCUGUGAGAACUUAUCUACAAAGAUUGAGGUUCUCUGGUAAGCUGACAACUUCAUCCCCGAACUUGCAUGGCAAUUCAUAGCUAAGUAAAACUUAAAACUGAGGCCAACGGUGACAGGCCAGAUAACCAAGAAUUGGUCACGUUGUUAGUUGAAAACAUUGGAAGCAAUUCUGACAUGCUUAGGAUAAGUAAUUAUUGUUCGUACAGUUAAUUAACUGUCAUCAACUCACUAUCAAGAAACCCUUCAGUCUCCACCAUCAUCCUACCUUCCUUCCUCUCCUGAGGGAACUCCAUUUAUGGAGAUUUGAUACGCACGUAAGAAUACAAAUCAUGCACUACUAUGCUUCUUACUACUGAUAUUUGUUUGAGCAUAAAUUAUUACCCAUUCGUGCUGGCUUAUGGCAGUUGACACCACAAUUAGAGUACUUAACAUAUUCAAAUCUGCAGAAGUAACGUCACCAAUAACUAAUUUACAACUAAGUACUAUUGCUUUGCGGAUGAACUAGCUUUUAAAUAAUUUAGGUGAAUAUACCUACUUAUAUAGAGUUCAAACGUUGGUGGCAGCAAUAAUUAACGAUUAGUAGCAUAAGAUGAUGUCGAGAAUAGCAGGAACAACAACCGUAUCAACCAUGAGAGCUUCACGUGUGACCUGACCUUCUUGUUCAGGCACACAAAAGUCCACUUUUUUAGCCCUUGACAGUACAACACACACCCCACCAUAGUCACUUCAAAGUAAGCCUGGAAGACUCGGAUUAUGGCAUAGUACAAGUUUCUUAAUCAGCACUGUCCCCCUCAGACUUGUUUUCUUUCUUUUAUUGAUAUUUUCCCCUUACCCAAUGUGGUUUUGGGUCAUAGCCCAUCGUAUGAUUUUAUUGGCAUUUCAAAGUUUUGAUUAGCUUUGGAUAUUUCAUGGUUCAUGAUCAUUUGUUGUUUUAUGCGUGAAUAGAACAAUGACUAUAGCUUACUGAGUCAUCCUGCAUCUAUUUUAAGGACCUGCACAUUGCUUUAUCAUGAGCUAUGGAGCUUGGACUCAAUGUAUCAUGAUUUAACCUUGACUCAGACAUAAUGAAAAUCCAUCAUGGCGGACGAAUUCCCCAUAAGUUAGGUCCAUCUACACGCUUAACAUAAGAUAUGAAAGGAAAAAUUCUUCACUAUGUAAUUGCUAUCAUGCAUUCAAACUCAUCAGUAGAAGAAACGUUUUUCUAUGGCAUAGCCUAAUAUCUCCAAAAAAAACUAAAGGAAAGAGCAAAAAAAAAAAAAAAAGAGAGAAAGAAAAACCAUGUAUUACACUUAGUUCAAGCUGACUAGAAAAACCAAUAAAACUUAAUGUCCAAGUCAAGGAGUUGGAGUGUGAACUGUUACAUUACGUUAUGUAAUUACUUUAUAUAAUGAAGUGUCAUGCGUUACAUUAUGUUGUUGCUUAAUACCUUUAUUUAUUUCGAGUGAUGAGUUUGAAUUGAAGACAGCUAACUAUAGACAUACGUGAGCUCAGAAACUGAGAAUGGCAGCUUCAAAACUGCUCAAAAGAAAGAACCCCCAAAACAAGAAAGUAAAAAAAAUCUUAAAUCAAUAGUUUAUUAGAACUUUAGGUUACUGAAAGCUGGUGUCCUUAGUGAAAUGGGAGGAACACGAGAUCAAGCAAGUGGGUUGGCUUUGCUUGGUAACCUGAUCAUCAAGAUUAAAUUAAUCAUUCACUUAAUCGAAUUUUGUGCUGUUUCCCCACUAGAUUUCAGCAAGAAAGGAGUAGUAGAAAAUUCAGCUAUGGUCAUUGCUUGGAAAUGUGGUUUCUUGGGUUCUUAAAUGUUGGUGCAAUAAAAGAGAAUAUGGCGGGGUAAUUGAAGGCUCACGUGAGGCUUAGUUUGACCGUUAUUUUGAUCCGAUUCCCUCGACAAGUAGCGUAAAAAUUCUCGUAAUUAAGCCAAAAUAUGCAGGGCAUACGAUGUUGAAACUUGCUUCCAUUUUUGCAAUUUAAUUCUCUCAAGCAUAUCUUUCUUUGAUCCCUUUUGGUUUUCAAUGUCAUUUUCAGAAUUUUCUAGCACAAUACUUUUUAUGGGUUCUUUGCCUUCAAUUUAUUUUGACAAAUUAUGACAAAAUGUUUCCUACAAAAAAUUCAAUGCCAUUUACUUUGAGCAGAGUGAUUUCCAUUGGAAUUGUUGAAGACGAUCCUGCAAAGUAAAACGGUGACAAGGCAUCUUCAUUCAGCAAGUUCUUUAAAUUUCUCAUUCAGGAUGUUUUUUUGAUACCCUUAGCUUAGUAGGGUAAAUACUUUAAUGCCAAUCCAAAUUUACAGAUACUCGUUGUGGUAGUCAACCUAAGAUGACUGAACCCAGAUAUGAUUUCUCCUGUUAAAGAUAUUAUUACAAAAAAAAAAUCUCAAUAAAAUUAAUUCGUUCUUGGGUCAAUUCAAACUUUUAUUGUUUGCAUGGCAUGCCAACUGUAAGUUUAGUGCUUCAAGAAAAAAGAAAAAUGGAAAUCAAAACUUUGAAUAUAACACUUUGUAUAUCAGUGAUCACUAUAGUGACCACUAAUGAUACAGAAGGCAGAAUUCCUGGAAAAAAUGUUGCCUUGAAGCCUCCACUGCACCCCAUUGUCAUACAUACUGUCUCCGUAACUCCCAAUUAUACAAAGCAACUACUGGAACUGUUGACUUGAAGUUGCAACCGCACCCCAUUAUCACACCUAUUGUCCCAUAUGAAUAAUGCUGAUGGAAAUUUUGCUGGAUUAGAUUGGGAUAAUUCAUUAUAGUAGGCUAUUAGGUGGUGCUUUACUUUACAUGUACGUUAGUUAAAAUGGGCAUUUUUUAGUAGGAUCCAACUGAGACCCUCACUUUGUCUGUUUAGGUGGAUCCGACUCAAAUAAGACAUGAACUUAAAUGAGUGUACCAGAAAUAUGCAGGAGAAGGGUCACUUUGACCAAAAUUAUCACCUCAUCAUCAACACUAUUGCAAGGCAGCUCAUAAACUAAGGAAUUGUGCUACCUUAUUGAAGUAAUGGCUGACCCCUUAUGUUGGUAGGUGAUGCAUGAUAACCAGAGUUGUAUAUAGAGAAUGACAUGGCACUAUGGCAUUGAAUCUACACUUGUACAAAUAUGCAUUAGUAGCGGUAUUUAUUUACUCACUAGUGUUUGAAUAAUUUUAAUCUUUAUUUUUUUUUCCUCCAUGUUGGGGGUUUAUAGCAUGGAAUCCCAAGUGGGUAUGGGACCCUUAUGGUACUGUCUGGUGAGCUAGGGGGCACUGCACACACCUUGAUGCCCCAUAGUUGGCUCUUUACUCGACCAAGGCAAGUUUGGACCACACUUGAAACUCCUUAUAUAAAGAGCCCUUCUUGCUCUUUGUUCAUCACUUCAAUUUCAGCAACUUCUUCAUUCAUCACUUGUGAGUUUACCUGCACCAAAGCACAAAGAAGAAAAAAGAACACUUCUUGCAAUCUAUUGUAGAGAAGAUGAAGAUGAGCAGCACAAACAUGGGAAGCUCCAAGAGAAGAAUUUCAAGCAGAGGACUAGGAGGGGUCCUAAGAGAGCAAAGGGCUAGGCUUUACAUAAUCAGAAGAUGUGUGGUCAUGCUGCUUUGCUGGCAUGAAUGAAGAGUAUCUUUCUAGUUCUAUCUAGCCUUCAAUAAGAAGGGAUGCUUGUUUUUUUCUUCUUCUUCUUCUUUGAUCAUCUUGGGGAGUGUAAAUAGCAAAGGCCGAGAUUAGUGAGAAAGAAGUUAACAAUUUUGUACUAAUUAUUAAUUGGCUUUAUGAGCCUUCAUGUGUAUACAGUCGGAUAGCUUAAUGGAUUGAAAAAAUCAUCUUUAUCAAUUCAUUGAGUCUUAGUAAUUCUUUUCAUUUUCUCUCCUUUGAUAUUAUGUGUUAUCAUUUCUGCUGUGGAUUUUUGAAGAUGGAGGACUAGUUCAUCAGCCAAACUUAAUCAAGCUAUUGUAGGAUGAGGACAUGCUCACAAAAUUGGGUAGCUGAAGUCUAAUUCACAUUAAUCUUUACCUUCUGGUGAUCGGCUAAUCAUCUUUAUUUGAUCAUUUCUUUCAUCAGUCCUCAUGGAGGUUGACUAGUUUAUUAUCCUCACAAUAGUUCACAUUCAUCGCAGUCCUCAACGUACACAAAAAACAAUGAAGAUAAUGAAUGCUUGGAUAUUUAAGCAAUAGGGAACUGGUGAUGACCAAAUUGGGAAGAUGUAUGAUCGGAUUCUUUAGUGCUAGCUCAAAGUUCAUAUCAACUUCAAUUUGCAGAUUUUUCUACUUGUAUUUUCGUACCUGAAUUAUUCGAAUAUCUGGAUCCCCAGAUUCAGAAUCAGAUGAGCAGGACUUCCAAGUUUCUUCCCAGAAAUUAAAAUUCAAAAAUCCAGAUCUUUGGAAGACUUUUUUAUUUCGUUUUAUUUUGGUAUUGGCAUUGGAUUGUUUUCUUUCCCGCAAGAAGUAGUACUAGUACUUACCUGUCGUCCAAAUUUAGAAGCUACCUAAGCCAUCCAACAAGUACCAGAGAAAACAAGGGUGGAAAAAUUUGUAUUCGUUUUAUUAGGCUUAGCCAGUCAGGUUAUAGCAGAUACCAUACAUAUUACACUUAAUUUUGCAGGCUUUUUUUUUUCAGAAAAGAAAGUAGUUGAUAUUUCUAGUAGAUUUAUGCUCUUUAUUUCUGCGCAUAAACUUGAAUUAAACUCUUGACUGGUGCAAACAAGUAAGGGAAAAAAAAAUAUAGAUUAUCUUUAAUUAGCAGAACAAUGACUAAACCUUUUUUCUUUAUAUAUAGAUUUUGAGCGAAUUAUUAGCAAAAACCUAGAAAUAGUAGUAUUAUUUCCUGCUGUUUUAACACUUUCUGAUUAUCAUGUAGGCCCUAUAAUCAUUUAAAGUGAUAAAUGUUGUGAUCUUACUUUCCUAGUUUCCAAUCCAGUCAAACUAUUUACAAACUUUUUGUACUCUCAGGAAAGCAGGUCCAAAAAAGACACAGAGUAUCUUAUAUAUUGCAAAGUAUGUUAUUACUUAAUUGUUACAUGCUUAAUUAACGAUUUUGAUUGUCGUCUUGUGAAUUGCAGGUGCAGCAAGAAAUUGACUUAAGACACUAAUUGAUAUAUUUCAUCUGUUUCUUUUGUCUGCUUUUGAUAAUUGAGGGUUUGGUAGCUACAAACAUGAAAAUUUAGCUAAUUAAGCUUUAAUAAUUAAGUUGGAGAUUAGUUAGUUUGUGACAAGGUAUUGUCUUGAUCAUCUUGUCUUCAACCAAACCUGCAUUAGUGAAUUUCAAAGUAUUGUAGUCGAAGAAAGAGAUGUUGGCCCAACCAGACAACGCCACUGACUCUUAUGCCAAUUAUGUUAAAUCCUGUGAUUAAUGAUUAUCCUAUCCAAGGGACAUUGGAGUCAAACCUUCAUUUCAUUAACAAUUGUGGGUAAGGGACUCCAACCUAAUAUUUACAUGUGCCAUGCAUAUUAUAUAAACUGAAUUAUUAAGUAGUAGUAGUAGUAGUAGAAUUGAAAUAAUAGCACACAAAAUUAAUUAGGAUAAACAGUCAGAUAUUAACACUUCAAACUAUAUAUGCUGAACUCUUUUUUUUUUUUUUUGGAAAACAAUAAUGGGGUCAUAGGACUAUAAUGUUCAGCGUGUCCCCAGAAAUUAAUUUAUACUGCUCAUCUUGUACGUCUAUUUUUCUCCCCCUAAAGUUGAAAUGAUUUCUUUUUGCAUCUAGCUCAAGAAAUCAAUAUAGUUAGUCUUAGGAAGUAGAAACUUGAAUUUAGUAAAGUUUCUGAAAUUUUCAGAAAGUAGAAUAAGUGUGCAAUAAAGAUGCUACUUUUUUCUCCAAUGACCCCCUAAAAAAACAACAAAGAAAAGAAAUAAAGAAAAAGAAAACAACAAAUUAAGAAAAGUGCAAAACAUAAACUUAAUAGUGUCUUGUAUGGAAUUCUCCUCAACCAAAAAUUUGGACACCGUUAUAAGCUUAUAAACAUUCUUGGAAUUAAUCACAGAAUUCAAGUCAUUCUCAUUCAUCCUUGUGCUAUUUAUUUUUCCUUUUCCCUAGAAUAAUCUUCUUGGAAGGUAUUCAUUAUUCUCUUUUUCUUUUUCCAUUUUCUCCCAAUUAUUCAGCUAGAGUUGGGCCAACAGGCGCUUAACAACAAAAAGAAAAACUAGUGCCAGAACCAAGCUGCGGAAAAAAACAAGAUAGGAUAAAAAGGAACAAAAUAUUUGUAUUUUAGUGAUCGUGAGGUGCCACAUUAAUUAGUUGUUCUAGUUGAAUUAAAACUUAGGUGAUAGUGACGAACUAAAAAUAAUGGAUAUCAAUUGUCCUGUUUGUUUAAUUUUUAGUAACAUUAUACACAAAGUCUAAAUUUCAAUCUGCAAAUUUACUAUUAAAAACUUGAUAUUUAUAAAUUAAAAAAAAUUAAUCUUUUUAAAAUAGCGUAAGUGAAAGGGUUCGAAUUCAAAAUCUCGCAUUUACACUCUUUUAUUUUUAAAUAAAAAAGAGUUAUUAUACUAGUGCUCUAUAUAUUAUCAAGAAACGUGCCAUCUAAAAACAUACAACAUAAGAAAUAUCGUUCAUCUUCUGUUUAUUGGAUGCCAAAUCAAUUAAAUGCCGAAUCAAAUUUUGAUGUAAGAUGGUUGAUGUUUCAUGUUUCUUGAAGGGCUUGUGAGAUUUAUGAUUAAAACGUCAACUUUUAUGUUUAAAUUCAUCUGGAAUCAAACUUACAGCGCGAAGCUUACUGCGUUUGCCAUUCUUGCGGCAUCAACAUGAUCUGAUCUGUGAUGAUGUUACUAAAACUGUUCUUUUCUUCUUUCCCCUUCAAAAGAAAAAAGAUCAUGUACAGAAAGAAAAGGUGAACAAACAAAAGUGCUGUACAAGAAAAAAUAAAGAAUGGCAAAUGGGGUGAAGGAGUUGAAACAGUUAAAAGUCCAAAACUGAAGUGGGGCAAAGAUUGUCAGGCUGCACAGGAGCUGAAUCGCUAAUCUAAUAUUCUGCUGUCGGCCACAUAACAAUUGCCAUCUCAUCUCGUCUCUCAGCUAAGCCAAAAUUGAGGUGAGCUCAAGAAAUGGAGUGAUGGAGCCAACCCCCGACACAAUGUGAUCAGUCAAAAUGGCAGCCUUAUCCACCCCCACGUGCAUUUUCUUAUCUUCAACCCCACCACCACCACCAUCCCAGCCCAUGAGGCAACCACCACCACCACCACCACCUCCACAACGACCAUGACCUCCCUCCCCUUUCAAACCCCCCCAGUCCCCACUCCCUGUGAUUCUUUUCUAAUCAUCAAAAAUCCCCAUCAAAGUGGUCCGCCCGCCUACCCCUCCCUAGGCAUAUAGAUUCUUCCUAUGUAGUACUCGUAUACUUACUUCCAGUAUGGACUUGGACUAACAUGCAUACAUCAUCACUGCUAAAAAAUUUAACCGAUAUAUCUUCAAAAAAGAAAGAAAGAGAGGAACGUAAAAAUUGUUUCAAGAUUCAGAUCAACUGCUAUAUGCAUGUAUAUAUGUAUGUUUGUGUGUGUAUAUAUAUAUAUCUUCUUGUACUUGGGAUGCAAUAGACGUUCAAUGCCAAUAUCUGACUAAGAUAAUUCAUAUCUCCUUCGUUACGUACGCUUGAAUGGAUGAUUGGCUUUGCAAUGGAUGAUAUAUCUCCCAGUUUUGGAGUCUAAUCUUAUCACCCGCCAAGCAUACAUGCUCGCCCGUUUGUAGAUACAUCUGGGUGAAUUGAUGCGUAGUUUUGGUAGGUAAGGUGAGUCAGAGUUGAUAAGAACAGCUGACUAACGAGUAACUGGGUGGAAUCAUAAUUUACGUAAAUUAAAUGGGUCAGAAAGGCAAUUAAAUGAUAGGUCUACGCGUGUCAAUAUUUCUUCCCCUCCCAUGCGACCCUUUGGCAUAGAUGCAAAGGAAGUGGAAAGCCUGGAAGGGGUUUCGAUGAGCUUAGAACUUUGGAAGGCUUUGGUGGGCAUCAUCACUUGAACUCAUUUCUCAAUUGUUUCUGUCAAUUGUGCCCGCAAUUAUUCGUUGUGAGAAAGUGACUACAGAUGGGAGCACAGUGGGCGCUUUCAUGCUAAAAGAAUGUGGUUUUGUCCACCUCCCAAACACGCCCCCCCUCCCAAAACCCCCCAUCCCUACAGCAAUUACCUCUGACUUGAAUAUAAAUUUAAAUCUAACAAAGAAAAUGAAGAAAAAAGGGAUUAUGUGAUAAAUUUCUUGUAAUAAAGAGUACAUGAUUACCUUUUUGCUGGUUAGAUUACUUUGAUCGUUAGUCAUGAGGAUAGUUUGUAGGUAGGUUUCAUCAACGUAAAGGGUGAUUUGUUACUUACCUCUAAUGAGAGGGGGGUAAUUGAAAUUUAGCCUGGAAUGAAAGGAAGGAGAAAUCAAUCAUGCAGAGUCUAUAUCUUUUGAUUUUUUAUUCUUGUGAGAGGAUUUAAUAUUGAGAAUCGAGAGGCCAAUACAUUGCGAUAGAAACAAGAGAAGAAGAAGCCAGAAGUGGUCCAUUUCCACAUGGAUUAAUUUAACUCUUUCGGACUUGUGGCAUUAGGGGUUCAGCCUAGAUGGUGUCUUAUUGGGACACAGCCACUCAUGCAGCUCUCUGCAUUGCUUCUUUCGGUGCUUUGAACUUUGAAGGCUUGCUUGCUUCAUGAUGGUCAAGACACUAAACUAUAGAUGUAAAAAAAAACACUCUUUUUUUCUUUCCAACCUCAAUGUCCUCCUUGUCCACCUCCAAUAAUAUAUCUAUCUAAAUCGAUCUGUGUGGAUGAUUGCUGAGAAUAGUAACCUUUUGCAUUAUAUGAUCAAGCGUCUGCGUGUACAUGUGUGAAUUAACUGUACUGUAGGAUUCGGCCGUGAAGAUAUAUGACAAAGUUUUGCAAGAUUCAAACGACUCAUGAUUUGAAGUUAGAGUAACAAUCAAUACGAAAAUGAGGGGAAAAAAAAUGUUAUUGCAUGAUUACGAGUAUUGAAUUUACGUGACAAGAUCCAAUUCACAGGGUCCCUCCAUUGUGAUGAAAACAUUGCAUUUCACCUACAUUUGCUACUAUUUGACAUCUACUCCUAACUCUUCUGCCCAGUGACUAGCAAUGGGGGUCGCCCUUCUUAACUUUGUUUUUGCUCAUAAUAUUUUAUAGAUUUUUUUUUUUUUUUUGUAAUUUUCUUUUAACUUGUCCUCCCUCCGAGUCCGAAGGUAUUGUUUACCUUACAUCUCUUGCCUUCUUCCCCUCCUCCUGUAACUUGACUUUUUGCCUAAAAAAUGUUAUUGUCCUUCUCUUCUUUAAAUUGCUGCCCAAAGUAAAAUAUACUUAUAAACUACCGCGUUAUGUCAAAGAAAUCCUUGCUAAUUGGAGUAUCUUUUUGUGCAUGUAUUGUGUACAAGUUAAUCAGUAAAGAUUGUCAAAUAGAUGGAACAUUGGGUGGGGUUAAAUCAGUUAAGAAAAUGAAAUCAAUAAAGUUAUGAACUUUCACAAAACGAUCAUUCUAGCUGAAGUUAAAACGGAUGACACAUUUAGUAUCUACCCUAUUCUGCACAUCAAUUAUUUUAUCUGCAGGAUAGGAAAAUCGGGUGUUACAUGGAAAUGCUACAACUCGUUAUCCAACUUGAAAAUACCAUGUAGAAGAUAACUUUAAGUUCACCACUUAAACCACUCUUUACUCUCAAGAAUCGAAACUGGUAAUCCUAACAUGGCAAAUAGUGUGUGCGUGUGUGCGUGUGAAGUAGGCAGAAGCAAAAGGGUCCUGGAAAGGUGGAACUGGAGUGGGCAAUGUUGUGAUGAAAAAGAGUGUAGUUGCUGGCACAUUUUGGUGAAACUGCCCUAUGUCGAGUGCUUUAUACCGCGUUCCUUCCCACACCAUCUCAAACAAGGAAAAAGAAAAAGAGGUACGAGACUUUCAGAUCAAAGUUUGGUGAUUCUUGAACAAAAGAGACACCUAAUUAUGACCCUGCCUCAACUUCUUUUUAUCUUGGAAGAAAAUUUUAAGUGACGAAUCAAAUGAGCAUCCAAAUCUUUAGAGUGCAUAUCAUCAUACUUAUUUAUUGUCUAUUAUUCGCUCUUAGAAUUAUGAUAAAAGAGAAAAAAAUUAGAUGAUCGUUCGUUUCCAAAAUUCAAUUUAACUCGUACGGACAUUAGUGUGAUCAUGAGUUUUCUCGUUCAACUUUUAAACCUUUUCUUUUUUUCUUUCCCCCGCUAAGUACUAUUCUACAUUUUGUUGAUUCGAUAUCUUCUUUAUUCAAACAAAUAUUUGGCCAGCUAUUCAUACAAAAAAGAAGAAGAAGAAAAAUUACUCCGGCUUGAGCAUGCUGCCAAUGUAGGAGUGGAGCGUGCAACAUAUGAUGUUCUACACCCCGAAAGUCCCAACCCCCACCCUUUGAGAGGGCACAAGGUCCACAACCGCACCCACCAGGCAGAGCAAUUACCAACUCUGCAUCCUAGAAUGACUACUGCUGAAACCGAUCAUGUUAAGGCUAGGACCAGUCGUUUCUAAAAUCCAUUUAUAGGCCAACCAUAAUAUGACCUGUAAGGUUCUUAGGUUCAAUGAAUCCUUCAUUUACGUUGAUGGGACAUAUGAAUCCAUCUUUGUUCCAAUGAAAUAAUGGUUGACAUGAUGCUGGAAUUCUCGAGUUCUCCGUUGAGUAUUCCAUUGAGGUAUAUGUACCGUAAGGUCCGUUUGGUUCAUGGGAUGACACAGAAUAGUAUUUUUAAACUAUGGGUAUAUAUAUAUAUACACACAAAACAGACAGGCGCGAUCGUGAGUACUAGAGCAUGAUCUAAUUCUUACUACAUCAUAGUGUCUUUGGAGUACAUUAGCCCUUUUUACUUUAUCUCUCUAUGAAGAAUAAAUUAUCCUUACUUAAAGAAAAUAAUGUCAGCAGAUACAUGGUAGUUUCCAUGAAUCCAUUUUUAGACAGAAAUUAUUGAGAGCUAUAGGGAGUUCAAAGUUUCAUGAGCUGCGGUGUGGUGCCAGAUUGUAUAAGGGCCCCAUGUAGCGAUUUUAUGUUGGACUGGUGGUUGGAUCUUUACAAACGGGUGUGAACAGAUCGUUCAGCCAUCAGUUCUUAAUGCUGUUCCUGACUGAGGGACCAAAGCCCAGAGUUUGCCUAACAAGGACAAAUAUCAUAGGCCCAACAAUGGGCUAUUUUUAUUUUUUAUUUUUAUAUUUUUUUAGUGUGAGUGGGAGGACUCCAACCAAGUUUUCAGAAAAAUUCCUAGACUUUCACAGUGGGGAUGUUUCACUUUUUUUUUUUUUUUUGUGAUGUUCCCUUUUUUUAUUUUUUUUUAAUGGGGGAUGUGGAGAAGAAGCAGGAAUGAAAUAAUGGGCAUGAAAAUAGAGAAAUUUGACUAGCAAGUGACAGUAAUCAAUUGUCUUAACUAUUGGACUAAGGUUUGAUGAUUAAAUGAAUUGUGCUCUUCCGCUGUGUUCCAUUUUGCAGGCUUCGUCAUCCAGAACUUCGAGCCGGGUAUAACCUUUUAUGCUGGAUCCAAAUGAGCCACCAUGACAUGUAGCUUUCUAAAUCUGGACGAAAGGAGCAAAAUUAUCUGUCUGGGUUUGUAUUCUUUUUGUUCUUUAAUUUAAGCCAACUCAGGCCCAACUAUGUUUCAUUUAUCACUCCUUCAAAGCAUGGCAUCAAAAGCUUUUGCUUGACAUGCAAAUGAGCUUUGUAAUGCCAAGUUUUGAAUGAACCAAGCAAUCAACAAACAAGUUCGUAUUUGCCUUGUUUGAGUUCGAAAAAAGUUUAAUCGUUUAAUUAAUCAAUUGAUUUCGAGCACAAAAUUAGACUCCUGCAAUAAUUUAGCCGUCCUCUCUUCCCCUCCCCUUCUGAAAUCUGGCCGUAUGAUUCGAUCGUGACCAAAUCUAUUUACACGACAAAAUCCGAUUGAAAAGGAGGACGAAAGUGUUCCGUUAAUCCUUCCCUCUUCCCCCCACCCCUCCUCGCGGCAUCACCUCCACUUUUCCCUCUCUCUCCUCCCUUACAUUCCCCCACCACCUUCCUUUCUCCACAUCGGUUCCUUUUCUCCUUUACCCCCGUCCUCCCUUCCUUGAAUCUAGCAGGAAUGAACGACCAGGUUGUGACCAAAUCUGGUCACACAACAAGAUCCCAUGGGAAAGGAGGGUGAGGGUGUGAGGAGAGGGGAAAACCAAAAUAGGGAACGUGGGGAGGCAAGAAAUAGAAGGUGAAGUGCUACAAGAGGAGAAAAGGUGGAGAAAAACAGAGGGAGGAUAAGGAAGGUGAGGUGGUGGAGGAGGAAAAAAAAAAAAAAAGGGAGUAACAGAGGAAACAGUAAAAAAUGCAAAUUAUAAAAAUACUCCAAAUAUAUUUUAAAUUUUAAAGACACGUAAAAUACAAUUGCACGGUAAAUUUUUACCAUACAAUCCUAUAGUAUAAUUUUUAUAAAAUAUCCCAAAAAAUGUCUAAUCCAUGCCAACCCAUAGGUCUACAUAUGAUGGUAUCUAUAAUUGUAAAUGAAGUAAAACUUGAUAACUCUCACCCCUAAAGAGAAGCCACCUUUCCAUUUUCUCCCAUGGUUAUUGGGCGGCAGAGCCAAACUUUCAAAACCAUGACCCUAAUCUUGGUCUUAUCUCGAUAAAAAGAGAGAAAAAUACAAAAGAAAAUGCAUAACAAAUAAAAAAAUGUCAGAAAAGCACAUAAACCACAUCACAUUUUAGUUAUGAUAAAAUGAACAAGAGCAUACCCAUCAAGUGACAAUUGUAACAGGUACAAGGAAGCUGUCAUACAAACUUACGUUCAACUGAGAAGCUAGUCAAAACAUGGGCUACUAUAUGGGCCUAUACAUCAUUCAAGUAUUCUGAUUCAAAAUGAACAUUUUUAGCAAGAAGCUUCAAAUUGACAGCCAAAAGUCAGUGGUCCUUUCUCUCCAUUCCGUGCUUGUCAAGUACCGUGCUCCUCAAUGUCAGCAGAUUUGUUUCCACCCCAUGAUAUAAAACUAUCCUGAGAUGCAAAUUCCUGCAAUUUGUUUCCACCCCAUGAUAUAAAACUAUCCUGAGAUGCAAAUUCCUGCAAAGCACUUGAAACCUUGAACUAGAACUAAAGAAGGUGAAGGCAGUAGUAAACUAACCAAGAUAAAGUAGACCAUUAAUAUAAUAAUAUGAAGCAGAGAGAGGAGGCUUGAACUCACAAGCUGGCUCAACCGGAAGUCAGGAGGUGUAUCUAGCUCCAG